RNAcentral lists this non-coding RNA (45 nucleotides) under Schistosoma margrebowiei. The record is from RNAcentral. Lineage: Eukaryota; Metazoa; Platyhelminthes; Trematoda; Strigeidida; Schistosomatidae.
AUCCAUUUAACGAGUUCCAAAUAGAAGGAAACGCACGUCAUGGAU